CGCAGUGAACAGCAGCCAGCAGAACCCAGAAGCCAGCAGCUGCCCCCUGAAACCCCCUAGGGUCAUUUCAUAGUGAAGUGCCUCUGAUGAGACGCCUCGCCAUGAAUAGUUUCCCUGGCAGAAGCAGAGAGGCAUCAGAACAUGCAUCACAUUCAGGAAAGGGUGAUUACAGCAGUCCUGGGAAGUGCAUUUGGUGAACAGAAAAGCAGGAUCCACUACAAGAUUUAAGAUUUCCAAUUUGGAUGGGGAUGUCGAUUCUAUGACUGAGAUAG
Long non-coding RNA from Mesoplodon densirostris (Blainville's beaked whale), 272 nucleotides. RefSeq lists it as uncharacterized. The record is from RefSeq and is a predicted model, not a curated record. The transcript has 3 exons. Lineage: Eukaryota; Metazoa; Chordata; Mammalia; Artiodactyla; Ziphiidae.